UCCAGCCUUCCCUGUAGAGAGCAACUUCAGCCCUGGAGAAGCAAGAAGGAGAAGGUGUGCGUUUUAGAGACAUCUGGAAGGUUCUUCAAUUGGAUCUCCACCAAGGCAAAAUUUGGCAGUUUCAUUCGAGCUUGGCAGAAGCUGUGUAUAGCCUAUUCUGAAGAGACUACCUGAGAUUAGUUAUAAUUAGAGUAAGACCCUCCACAAGUCUGAGACCAAGCCCCCUGACUGGCUCUAAUGUCAAGCACACAUUU
Long non-coding RNA from Fukomys damarensis (Damara mole-rat), 254 nucleotides. RefSeq lists it as uncharacterized. The transcript is spliced from 3 exons. Lineage: Eukaryota; Metazoa; Chordata; Mammalia; Rodentia; Bathyergidae. The record is from RefSeq and is a predicted model, not a curated record.